GCAAGUCGAACGAAGAACAUUUGGUAGCAAUAUUAGGUGUUCUUAGUGGCGAAAGGGUGCGUAACACGUGGGUAAUCUACCGUAAAGUUCGGAAUAACUUCGAGAAAUCGAUGCUAAUACCGAAUGUGAUCUGACAGGGACAUCCCUGUUCCAUUAAAGCUGGGGACCUUCGGGCCUGGCGCUUUACGAUGAGCCCGCGACCUAUCAGCUUGUUGGUGAGGUAAUAGCUUACCAAGGCUAAGACGGGUAACUGGUUUGAGAGGAUGAUC
Molecule: ribosomal RNA, 269 nt
Filed under: uncultured bacterium
Lineage: Bacteria
Description: partial 16S ribosomal RNA
Rfam family: Bacterial small subunit ribosomal RNA
Source: RNAcentral